CACUCUCUUUGAAACUUUAAACCUCAUAUCACAAAUGCACAAUUGAUGUGGUAAUCUUGAUGCCCCCAAAGCUGAGAAAGAAAAUAUGACAAACAUAAAUAUAAUUAGAUGUGAUAUAUAUAUAAAUCAUGAAAUCUAAAAUUAAAAUAAUAUGAAUAGAUCAAAUACAAGUAUGGAUUUUGCGAUUAUCAAUUGUCUAAAAAACCUUUCAUCCUAGGCUUGUUUCAUAUUAUUCAAUAUUUGUAUUUAUAAAUUUGAAAAAAUCAUCUUUAUUCAAUAUAGGCAAAUGAAGAGCCAAGAGUUUUAAUAAACUAAUUAAGAGGUUUUAAAAACAGAUAUACAUCUUUUUAUCUUCUAUUUUCUUUAAUGUCUUAAAAUUUCACAUUUAAUUGGAUAAUGUAUCUAAAUUAAUUUUUUUGGACUUCUUAAAACAAUGAUUUAGUUCGGAAAGGUCUUAAAAUAAUGUUAAUGAUUGACUAUGAUAAAUAAUGUAAUGUGACUGACUUUUCAUAUUUUUUCAGUUUUUUUUUAUAUUCAGCAAGUUUAGAGAUAAUUAAAGUUUAAUAUCUAAUUAACAAUUAUUGAGAUGCUAUAUGAUUUAUUUUAUAUAGGGGUAAAUUGGUAAUCUAACUUUACACUUUAGAGCUUCCCACUUAUAAUAAUAUAUGAUACAGUAAUCAAGGAUUCUUCUAGUAUAAAUUGUACUCUAUAUUUAAAAAGAAAUGAUCUAAUUUAAUUUGCUAUAAAAAUUUAAAAAAUAAAAAUUUUAUUUAGCUAAUUUUAAAGUUACGUACUAUAUAAUAUUUUUUACAAUGGAUUAAUUCAUGGGAUACUAGAUUGAGAAUUGGAGUUCGAUUUGGGGCUCUUUUCUUGGUGGUGAAUUCAACGAUUUGGUUUCAGAAUUGCCCCGUUCAUUGAUUGAUCACUCGAAAGUUAACAUGUACACGAUCGUUGUUCUAACUCUGCAACGUCUUCAUCUUACACUACCAAUACUUUCAAACAGUAUGACCCAUUUAUUCACUAAAUUGAUUCUCAAUUUCUCUUCAUCGUGCGGUAUCAUACAUUUGACGAAGAAGAUCUCUGAUCUGGUCGCUUUGUAAUCAUCCCUAACAUUCACAUUGGAGAAAUUGAUGAUUAUCUCAAAUCUUUCUCUUCUGCUUUUGAAAUUACAAAGUAGGGUGGUUGUGUAAACACAGAUUUUACCUGUCUUGUGAAAAAGAAAGAUUAUAGCACAUUUUUUAAAAGAAGAUGGAAUUGUGUGCCUUUUAUAGAUAUAAAAAUCUCACGCAAUCGGAGUAUGUUCACGAG
This 1308-nucleotide long non-coding RNA is filed under the name Solanum lycopersicum (tomato). Its description in RNAcentral is "long non-coding RNA (SLYC_LNC001207)". Lineage: Eukaryota; Viridiplantae; Streptophyta; Magnoliopsida; Solanales; Solanaceae. The record is from RNAcentral.